This 253-nucleotide ribosomal RNA is filed under the name uncultured bacterium. RNAcentral describes it as "partial 16S ribosomal RNA". It matches the Rfam family "Bacterial small subunit ribosomal RNA", at positions 524 to 776 of the family's 1533-position model. The record is from RNAcentral.
UACGUAGGGGGCAAGCGUUAUCCGGAAUUACUGGGUGUAAAGGGUGAGUAGGCGGCAUGGUAAGCCAGAUGUGAAAGCCUUGGGCUUAACCCGAGGAUUGCAUUUGGAACUAUCAAGCUAGAGUACAGGAGAGGAGAGUGGAAUUCCAUGUGUAGCGGUGAAAUGCGUAGAUAUAUGGAGGAACACCGGUGGCGAAAGCGGCUCUCUGGCCUGUAACUGACACUGAGGCUCGAAAGCAUGGGGAGCAAACAGG